UGGGGAAUAUUGCACAAUGGGGAAAACCCUGAUGCAGCGACGCCGCGUGAACGAAGAAGGUAUUCGUAUCGUAAAGUUCUGUCCUAUGGGAAGAUAAUGACAGUACCAUAGAAGAAAGCUCCGGCUAAAUACGUGCCAGCAGCCGCGGUAAUACGUAUGGAGCGAGCGUUGUCCGGAAUUAUUGGGCGUAAAGGGUACGCAGGCGGUUUAAUAAGUCGAAUGUUAAAGAUCGGGGCUCAACCCCGUAAAGCAUUGGAAACUGAUAAACUUGAGUAGUGGAGAGGAAAGUGGAAUUCCUAGUGUAGUGGUGAAAUACGUAGAUAUUAGGAGGAAUACCAGUAGCGAAGGCGACUUUCUGGACACAAACUGACGCUGAGGUACGAAAGCGUGGGGAGCAAACAGG
This 403-nucleotide ribosomal RNA is filed under the name bacterium. Its description in RNAcentral is "partial 16S ribosomal RNA". It matches the Rfam family "Bacterial small subunit ribosomal RNA", at positions 355 to 776 of the family's 1533-position model. The record is from RNAcentral.